AAUGAAGGGGAUGAUGUUUUCCUAUGUGAAUAUGAAUACAACAUUCAUUGGCACAGUUUCAAGUGUCUUGCUGAUAUU
Juglans regia (Persian walnut) is the source of this 78-nucleotide small nucleolar RNA. RefSeq annotates it as small nucleolar RNA snoR28. NCBI's taxonomy places the organism in Eukaryota, Viridiplantae, Streptophyta, Magnoliopsida, Fagales, Juglandaceae. The transcript has a single exon. The record is from RefSeq and is a predicted model, not a curated record.